ACGAGAAGCUGGACGCCACCACCAGGAGCCUGAGACUGGCUGCUCUUUCUUCCUCCAUCAAAGACCCUGGCAAAUCCUAAGAACUCGCUGAGAUCAGACACACUGUCUCCUCACAACGCCUUACCACUUCAGACCUGAUGAUUCUGCAGUCACCGGGGCGAAACCUCUCUCAGAUUAACUCAACCUCAAGGUAAACCUUUUAUGUGUAUCUGUGCAAACACAAACACUUGGUGCUAACAGCUGGCUCUACCUGCCUGGUGCUCAUCCAGAACCCAAGAACAACAUGACUGUACUCGGAGGCCUUUUGCACUCAACCCUAAUCCUCCUCAGCCAUCUCAACCAGGAGUUACUGUGAGGUCGACAGCAAACUUUAAGAAAUACCAGUGAGAACACUGUGAAGAAGGGUGUGUAAAGUGUUAAAAUGUUAUUUAUGAGAACCUAACUGAAUGUAUUUCAUGGAUUUGAAUACUGUUACAACCAAAGUAGCCUUGCUGUUACAUUUCUUGCCAUGGUUCCAACACUUAAGUAUUUGUUUCUCUUUAAACAUUGUUUUACCGCAUGACCAGCCAUGUCCUUUUAUUAUCAUGCUCAUGUGUUUGUGCUGAAAUAAUAUAAAGAAACUAUAUUAAAUGUAACACUGGUGCCUUUUGAGCAAUUUGCAAAUGUAUCAUGAAAUAAUGUGACAACGUUGUUUUUCAAUGUUUUACAUACUGCUUUUAAAUGUAUUGACCAAUUUUCUAAAUGACUUCUAGUUUUAUUUCAUGCAGUAUAUAUUUGUAUAAAGAAAUAACCACAAAUGGAAGUCUGUUUUUAUGAAAUGCAAAGGAAGUACAUGCACUAUGAAUAAAUCCUCAUGCAUCUAA
Long non-coding RNA from Notolabrus celidotus (New Zealand spotty), 863 nucleotides. RefSeq lists it as uncharacterized. The record is from RefSeq and is a predicted model, not a curated record. The transcript has 2 exons. Lineage: Eukaryota; Metazoa; Chordata; Actinopteri; Labriformes; Labridae.